This is a non-coding RNA of Myotis lucifugus (little brown bat), 76 nucleotides long. The record is from Rfam. Lineage: Eukaryota; Metazoa; Chordata; Mammalia; Chiroptera; Vespertilionidae.
GAGACACCCUUAUGAAGCAGGACUUGCUUCAGUGGGGCUUUGGUGCUCACUGAGUCUGUAUCUUGAGUGUGUUGCU